Molecule: long non-coding RNA, 101 nt
Organism: Aricia agestis (brown argus)
Lineage: Eukaryota; Metazoa; Arthropoda; Insecta; Lepidoptera; Lycaenidae
Exons: 3
Source: RefSeq, a predicted model, not a curated record
CUCGAUCAGCAAUGUAUAAUGUAGUAGUCAUCUGAUUGAAUCUGAUAUUUGAUUGAAUGACUAGCGAAUUCAUUGAAUCCGGUUAUUAGCAACAAGUUUUA